Molecule: small RNA, 163 nt
Filed under: Caldicellulosiruptor saccharolyticus
Lineage: Bacteria; Bacillati; Bacillota; Caldicellulosiruptorales; Caldicellulosiruptoraceae
Description: c-di-AMP sequence
Rfam family: c-di-AMP riboswitch aptamer (ydaO/yuaA leader)
About the family: This family represents a conserved RNA structure found upstream of the ydaO and yuaA genes in Bacillus subtilis and related genes in other bacteria. The ydaO/yuaA element is thought to act as a genetic "off" switch for the ydaO and yuaA genes in its native state.
Source: RNAcentral
UAACAAAAGUGGCUGAAUGCAUGAGGCAGUUUGUUAAAUUUGCCCCAUGCAGCGGGAGAACCAGCGUUAUAUUGGGGUGAAUCGGCAAGCUUUGGCUGCCGUAGGGAUGUCCUUCUUGUCCCGAACCCGUCAGCUAAUCCCGUAAGCCCAAAAAAGAAGGGAG